Lycium barbarum (goji berry) is the source of this 431-nucleotide long non-coding RNA. RefSeq lists it as uncharacterized. The record is from RefSeq and is a predicted model, not a curated record. Lineage: Eukaryota; Viridiplantae; Streptophyta; Magnoliopsida; Solanales; Solanaceae. The transcript is spliced from 3 exons.
GGAGAGAAAAACAAGAUCAUCUUUUUAGCUCCUCUAAAAUUAUUCCAUUGAUGUAAACCCACUAUAUUGAGGUCCCUAAGUAGCGUGGAAGCAUCGUUGGAGCGAUCAACCCAUUAUUUUCAUCUUUUGGAAACCCUAGGCUAUUGGAAAGUUGAAGAAGGAAGAUCGUGGGCAGCCCGAAUCAUAGUUUGGACUUAGCUUGAGUUGGAUCAUAUUGGAGAGCGUUUGAGGUACAGACGCACAGCCUGGUGAUCCACCUGUUUAGGACACCCUUUCUGCUAUUCGGAGUGCUCCUCUCUUUCCGGAGCUUAUACUUUUGGUAUAUAUAUUUAUUAGUGCAUUUGUAUAUAUUCGUUCAUGGGUACGGCGGGGCCCUGUCCCGUCAUAUGAUUCUGUCGGUCUGUUUAGAGGUCUGUGGACAUGUUUGUGGG